This 400-nucleotide ribosomal RNA is filed under the name uncultured bacterium. Its description in RNAcentral is "bacterial SSU rRNA". It matches the Rfam family "Bacterial small subunit ribosomal RNA", at positions 107 to 518 of the family's 1533-position model. The record is from RNAcentral.
UGAGUAACGCGUGAGCAACCUGUCCCAGACAGGGGGAUAACACUUGGAAACAGGUGCUAAUACCGCAUAAGACCACGGGGUCACAUGGCUCUGGGGUAAAAGGAGCAAUCCGGUUUGGGGUGGGCUCGCGUCCGAUUAGAUAGUUGGUGAGGUAACGGCCCACCAAGUCGACGAUCGGUAGCCGACCUGAGAGGGUGAUCGGCCACAUUGGAACUGAGAGACGGUCCAAACUCCUACGGGAGGCAGCAGUGGGGAAUAUUGGGCAAUGGGCGAAAAAGCCUGACCCAGCAACGCCGCGUGAGUGAAGAAGGCCUUCGGGUUGUAAAGCUCUGUUAUAGGGGACGAAGGAAGUGACGGUACCCUAUAAGGAAGCCCCGGCUAACUACGUGCCAGCCGCCGC